This is a long non-coding RNA of Papaver somniferum (opium poppy), 2833 nucleotides long. RefSeq lists it as uncharacterized. The record is from RefSeq and is a predicted model, not a curated record. The transcript is spliced from 4 exons. NCBI's taxonomy places the organism in Eukaryota, Viridiplantae, Streptophyta, Magnoliopsida, Ranunculales, Papaveraceae.
GGGUUUUCAUUUCUCUUUCUUCGCUUUUUUUUUUCUCUCAAUCCUGAUAUACUUUUCGUCCUUCUUUUGAUUUUGAUGGUAGUUUAGCUAAUUCGUUAUUUGAAAUUAAAAGGGUUUGAUCUAUGAUUAUAGGUGGAUCUAUUGCAUGCUUCAAUUUUGAAUUUCAUCAACAAAAUUACCAAGGGAUAAAAUGUCUUCGCAUAAUUUUUAUUGUGCUAUGGGUUUUGGAAAUCCGGUUUCUUCGCAGGAUAAUGUUGAGCAUAAAUUUAAAUGUUCAGAGGAACUAGACAGGCAUAAUAUUAUAUCGAGGUAGUACAAGCAAUGUUAGUCAGUUUUAUGUCAUUAUUUGCAAGAAUCCUCAUGAUUAAUCAAUUGUUCACAAUUGUGGUUUUGGAUCGACAGUUGAAAUAAGAUACACAAAACUUAACGACACGGCUCUACCGAGAGGUUAUGGCUUACCACCAAUACAUUUCACUUCCCUAGUUUUGAAAUAGACUUUACACCAAGGGAUUUCAAAAAAUAUCAUGAAUUUUUAUUGGCCAAGGAAGUCGUAUACAUUGCAACAAAAAGAGCAAAAUAUUUGGAUGAACUUGCUCCCGCAACCAUAGAUUGUUUGCUCCCUUACAUUGAUGCGGAUUUGAAAGAGAAAGGGAAACAAGAAGAGGGAAAUGGUGAAGAAGUUGAACAAUGAGAAGAACAAAUAGAAGAGGAACAAGAAGGGAAACGACAACGUAAAGACUGCGAUCACAAGUAGUUUCAUCCUCUAACAUAGAUCUUUUGAGAAAGAAACUUCUCCAACGAAUCCAAGGGAUUGGGAUUAGUAUGAUAAAAUUGUUUCUUAAGAAUAGAAAAUGAAAACAUAAUCAUAUUGCGUGUCAGGAACAAAUGGCAAGGUGGUUUUUGAUGCGGGUUGUGGGGAAUGUACUUUUCCCAACCAAGAACGAUGUUGUUUUAUAAACUUGGCUACCGAUAUUUAAGGAUUUGAAUAUAAUCCGUACUUACGAUUGGAGUUCAACUAUUUAUGGUCAUAUGUUAUGGAGCUUGAAUAUGGGAGUUCAGAUCAAACCCGGUGAUCUCCUUUUCUUUGUUGCCUAUAAAUGUCCUGGUUUUGGGCGUAUUUCCGAUGCAUAUUCCCAAUAUAUUAGAGAUUUAUCUGGAUGAUUUGGAUCCUUUGUCGGCGGGUAAGUUAUAUGUUGAUAACCAAAGAGACAAAGAAAUAGGUAAUAAACAUGACACCGGUGCCCAUUCCAUAACAACGGUUCAUAAUCAAAUUGACAACUACUCUAUCUAUCAAGUAACAUGGAUGUUAUAGUUGGAUAGUCGAUGGGAAAAUAAGGAAGAUGUGGUACUUGCAAGAAAAAUCUCUAAAACACGUAGAGUCUUUUUUGAUCUGUCUGCAUGCCAACAACCCCUUGUACUUUGGAGAACGGUGUCUCAGACAAAUUGGUGAAAUUACAGUAAUACCGGUCAAUCCACCUGAUGUAUUAGUAAACAUCACUACCUAGUACUUGUACAACGAUCCUAAUCGUAAUUUCUUGCAUUUUAGUGAGGUGACUGCAUUUGAAUAUAUGGAGUGCUGGAGUCGAAGAUUUGUUAGAAAGUACUCGAAAAUAGUUGAACAUGAAGGAAAUAGAUAUAUGUAUAGUUCUCAAGAUCCUAAUGCCUAUAUUCAUCUCCCACCACCCAUUAGGGAAUCCACAUAUACAAAUAAGUUGUUACUGAUAGAUCAUUGUUUCUUCUCUAGUGUACUAGAUCCUACUAUCAGAUUUACCAACGAGAGUGGUAGGCCAGUCAAGAGACAUAUUGGAAAUGAGUAUUUGAGUGCAGUUCAUAGACCCAGUUGUAUUGGCAAUUGAGGAAAUGUGGUGUCAAUUGGCUGAGGUACAACGAUGGUACGCUGACGCUGCAAAUCAAAUCACAUUGGACUAUAUAAAAGGGUUGUAACAUCAACUCCGACCCGAAGAAGAACUUCCACGACAUAUAUCUUUUUUCAAGAAAUAUGUGUUAGUAUAUACACGUGAGUCAUCGUCUACCCGGGGCUACUCUCGUGACUCAUGUGCAUCAUCAGGUUCUUGUUUAAUUACCAAACAUGAUGAUGACCCAUUCUACCAUCCUCAAAAUGAGUCUCAAUAUCCCCAUCUUCGUUUAUAUUGAUGUAGCUUAUAAUGGUGAGAUCCGAAUUUUUUAAAGAUAUACAAGAAACCCUUUAGUCGCGAUGAAGAAUUUGGGACUGGUCCUAGUAUAGAUCCUCGUAGGGAAUCAGUCAUAUAACAGAUACUUUGAUUCCUUUCAACUACGAAACAAGUUUCGCAAGUCUACUUCCUUAACUCAUGUAGUUAUAUAUAGUUUUCUAGGCAUGAAAUCAAUCAAAGUUCAACACACCAACUAAUAACGAAUUAUAAAGAUAGUGUUAUGCCACAUUUACGAAGUUCAAAAGAUAAACUUUAUACUUCGUAAUCCAAUAUACCAAAGUUGUAUGAAACAAAUUGACACUUUAGUCAUAAUGGAAUGAUCAAGUCACCAUUACUAGAGAUAGAUAAAUAUGUUUCGUAUGUAAUGUUUUCAAUCUAAACGAGUUGACAGAAAUAUGGAUAGCAAUGGAAACAAGUCAAGUAUGUAUUACUAACCUCGAACAAGAGGAUAAUAUGUGUGUUUAUGCCGAUAUAUCUUCAGGUUUUUCAGAGUACACGAGAUUGUCUCAACAUUUCUAAUGUUUCUAGUCUAACCUAACAGAGUUGACUCUAGUAAUCCAAUCAAGCAACUUCGAGUAUUGAAGCUAAAAUAUGCCAACCAAACUUGACAUACCAACGCUUGAUAAGCUCAACCGAUCAGU